Non-coding RNA from Nitzschia inconspicua, 85 nucleotides. The record is from the annotation of a GenBank genome assembly. Lineage: Eukaryota; Bacillariophyta; Bacillariophyceae; Bacillariales; Bacillariaceae.
GCACAGUUGCCCGAGAGGUCUAAGGGGUGGCACUUAAGAUGCCCUAGUCAUUAAGACUGCGUGGGUUCGAACCCCACACUGUGUA